GAUGAACGCUGGCGGCGUGCCUAAUACAUGCAAGUCGAGCGAACAGACGAGGAGCUUGCUCCUCUGACGUUAGCGGCGGACGGGUGAGUAACACGUGGAUAACCUACCUAUAAGGCUGGGAUAACUUCGGGAAACCGGAGCUAAUACCGGGUAAUAUAUUGAACCGCAUGGUUCAAUAGUGAAAGACGGUUUUGCUGUCACUUAUAGAUGGAUCCGCGCCGCAUUAGCUAGUUGGUAAGGUAACGGCUUACCAAGGCAACGAUGCGUAGCCGACCUGAGAGGGUGAUCGGCCACACUGGAACUGAGACACGGUCCAGACUCCUACGGGAGGCAGCAGUAGGGAAUCUUCCGCAAUGGGCGAAAGCCUGACGGAGCAACGCCGCGUGAGUGAUGAAGGUCUUCGGAUCGUAAAACUCUGUUAUUAGGGAAGAACAAAUGUGUAAGUAACUAUGCACGUCUUGACGGUACCUAAUCAGAAAGCCACGACUAACUACGUG
Molecule: ribosomal RNA, 497 nt
Filed under: uncultured bacterium
Lineage: Bacteria
Description: partial 16S ribosomal RNA
Rfam family: Bacterial small subunit ribosomal RNA
Source: RNAcentral